This 282-nucleotide long non-coding RNA is filed under the name Elaeis guineensis (African oil palm). RNAcentral's name for it is "long non-coding RNA (EGUI_LNC050640)". Lineage: Eukaryota; Viridiplantae; Streptophyta; Magnoliopsida; Arecales; Arecaceae. The record is from RNAcentral.
AUAGAGGUGCCAUUAAGGAGAUUCAAUAGAGUACCGCAUCAGUCGGACAGAUGCUAUGAUUUUUUGAUCCGAAAUGGUGAUCCCAUUGAACUUGAUGAGAAUAAUGAGGAUCCGAUCAUCUACAUGGAGGCCAUCCAAAGGCUCGACUAUCAAAAAUAGCUUGAGGCCAUGAAGUCCGAGAUAGAGUCCAUGGAGAUCAAUGGUGUAUGGAUACUAGUUGAUCCAUUCGAAGAGAUAAAACUCAUAAGGUGUAAAUAGAUUUUCAAGAAAAAAAGAGGAGCG